Molecule: ribosomal RNA, 465 nt
Filed under: uncultured bacterium
Lineage: Bacteria
Description: partial 16S ribosomal RNA
Rfam family: Bacterial small subunit ribosomal RNA
Source: RNAcentral
CCUACGGGAGGCUGCAGUGGGGAAUUUUGCGCAAUGCUCGUAAGAGUGAUGCAGCGACGCCGCGUGAAUGACGAAGGCCUUCGGGUCGUAAAGCUCUUUCGACAGGGAAGAAAAUGCCUAUAAGUAACUGUGUAUGUAUUGACGGUACCUGUAUAAGCAGCCCCGGCUAACUCCGUGCCAGCAGCCGCGGUAAUACGGAGGGGGCGAGCGUUGUUCGGAUUGACUGGGCGUAAAGGGCACGUAGGCGGUGUUGUAAGUCAUUAGUCAAAGACUAGAGCUCAACUUUAGUAAGGCUAGUGAUACUGUAAUACUAGAGUAUCAGAGAGGAUUGCAGAAUUCCUGGUGUAGCGGUGAAAUGCGUAGAUAUCAGGAGGAAUACCGGUAGCGAAGGCGGCCAUCUGGCUGGAAACUGACGCUGAGGUGCGAAAGCGUGGGUAGCAAACAGGAUUAGAUACCCUGGUAGUC